ACGCCUAUACGGUUCCUCCAACGAAGUUCGUGCGAAGCUUUCUAUUAUGGCUUCCAGCGGGGUCCCGGUGAGCGCUGCCGGCUCGGCUAAUGAAACUCCCGAAAUACCUGACAACGUGGGAGAUUGGCUUCUGGGCGUCUACCGCUUUGCCACUGAUAGGAAUGACUUCCGGAGGAACUUGAUCCUCAAUUUGGGACUCUUUGCUGUGGGAGUUUGGCUGGCCAGGAACUUGAGUGACAUUGACCUCAUGGCACCUCAGCCAGGGGUGUAGCCAAGUAGACAAAUGGAAUCCUGUGCUGAACCUGAACCUUCCAAAAAACAACCUACAAUCUGACCAUCACAAGAUGUGCCCUGAUGGCAGCUGAAGUUUGAUUCAGAUGGGCACUUUCCUUUUCCUUAUCCCUGCCUAGUUUCCUUUUGUUCCUUGAGUCCACGCAGAAUUCCAUUCUCUGAUCAGCAGACAAAUUUAAGCUAAAGUAUUGCCUCUGUUCUGUAAAGUUCUGUACAAAGUUCCUAAGCUUCUCCAGGGGGUGAUCUUUGUUCUUGUCCUGAGAAAUAACAAUGCUGUUUUAACAAACAUUUGAAAUAAAUACUGCACACA
This is an RNA transcript of Sapajus apella (tufted capuchin), 601 nucleotides long. It is a transcript of the gene named mitochondrial import receptor subunit TOM6 homolog pseudogene, with no coding region annotated. The record is from RefSeq and is a predicted model, not a curated record. The transcript has a single exon. Lineage: Eukaryota; Metazoa; Chordata; Mammalia; Primates; Cebidae.